AUUGAACGCUGGCGGAAUGCUUUACACAUGCAAGUCGAGCGGCAGCGCGGGGGCAACCCUGGCGGCGAGCGGCGAACGGGUGAGUAACAUAUCGGAACGUACCCAGUCGUGGGGAUAACUAUCCGAAAGGAUAGCUAAUACCGCAUACGUCCUGAGGGAGAAAGCGGGGGAUCGCAAGACCUCGCGCGAUUGGAGCGGCCGAUAUCGGAUUAGCUAGUUGGUGGGGUAAAGGCUCACCAAGGCGACGAUCCGUAGCGGGUCUGAGAGGACGACCCGCCACACUGGAACUGAGACACGGUCCAGACUCCUACGGGAGGCAGCAGUGGGGAAUUUUGGACAAUGGGGGCAACCCUGAUCCAGCCAUUCCGCGUGAGUGAAGAAGGCCUCGGUUG
RNAcentral lists this ribosomal RNA (392 nucleotides) under uncultured bacterium. Its description in RNAcentral is "bacterial SSU rRNA". It matches the Rfam family "Bacterial small subunit ribosomal RNA", at positions 29 to 425 of the family's 1533-position model. The record is from RNAcentral.